This 269-nucleotide long non-coding RNA is filed under the name Lathyrus oleraceus (garden pea). Its description in RNAcentral is "Pisum sativum (pea) long non-coding RNA (PSAT_LNC001822)". The record is from RNAcentral. Lineage: Eukaryota; Viridiplantae; Streptophyta; Magnoliopsida; Fabales; Fabaceae.
AAACCAACACCAAUUAUUUACGAAUUCCGUCGUUUCGACGGUCUUUACAAACUGAUACCUAGGUGUUUGGCCGGACAUGGAUUCGGUAACAGACAUGCUAUUCGGAAAACCAAACAUACAAUAAGGCAUAAAUAAAAAAAUAGCAAUCAAAAUAAAACCUGGAUUAUGAAUUGAGAACUGGAACUGAAUCUUGAUUCUUCAAAUAAAAUAAUAUCGGCAGGCUUUUGUCAUGAGUAACCGUUACAAUUGAAUUUAAAUGCGUAAAUAAU